This 1487-nucleotide ribosomal RNA is filed under the name metagenome. RNAcentral describes it as "bacterial SSU rRNA". It matches the Rfam family "Bacterial small subunit ribosomal RNA". The record is from RNAcentral.
AGAGUUUGAUCAUGGCUCAGGAUGAACGCUGGCGGCGUGCCUAACACAUGCAAGUCGAACGGAGUUCUUAAGGAAUGCGGCUUCGGCCAAAUGACUUUUGAACUUAGUGGCGGACGGGUGAGUAACGCGUGAGCAACCUGCCUUUCAGAGGGGGAUAACAUUUGGAAACAGAUGCUAAUACCGCAUAAGAUUACAGUACCGCAUGAUACAGUGAUCAAAGGAGCAAUCCGCUGAAAGAUGGGCUCGCGUCCGAUUAGAUAGUUGGUGAGGUAACGGCUCACCAAGCCGACGAUCGGUAGCCGGACUGAGAGGUUGAACGGCCACAUUGGGACUGAGACACGGCCCAGACUCCUACGGGAGGCAGCAGUGGGGAAUAUUGCACAAUGGGCGAAAGCCUGAUGCAGCAACGCCGCGUGAGGGAAGACGGUUUUCGGAUUGUAAACCUCUGUUUUCGGUGACGAACAAAUGACGGUAACCGAGUAGGAAGCCACGGCUAACUACGUGCCAGCAGCCGCGGUAAUACGUAGGUGGCAAGCGUUAUCCGGAAUUACUGGGUGUAAAGGGAGCGCAGGCGGGAUAGCAAGUCAGCUGUGAAAACUAUGGGCUCAACCCAUAAACUGCAGUUGAAACUGUUAUUCUUGAGUGGAGUAGAGGCAAGCGGAAUUCCGAGUGUAGCGGUGAAAUGCGUAGAUACUCGGAGGAACACCAGUGGCGAAGGCGGCUUGCUGGGCUCUAACUGACGCUGAGGCUCGAAAGUGUGGGGAGCAAACAGGAUUAGAUACCCUGGUAGUCCACACCGUAAACGAUGAUUACUAGGUGUUGGAGGAUUGACCCCUUCAGUGCCGCAGUUAACACAAUAAGUAAUCCACCUGGGGAGUACGACCGCAAGGUUGAAACUCAAAGGAAUUGACGGGGGCCCGCACAAGCAGUGGAGUAUGUGGUUUAAUUCGACGCAACGCGAAGAACCUUACCAAGUCUUGACAUCCUGCGGCGAUGCUAGAAAUAGUAUUUUCCUUCGGGACGCAGAGACAGGUGGUGCAUGGUUGUCGUCAGCUCGUGUCGUGAGAUGUUGGGUUAAGUCCCGCAACGAGCGCAACCCUUAUGGUCAGUUACUACGCAAGAGGACUCUGGCCAGACUGCCGUUGACAAAACGGAGGAAGGUGGGGAUGACGUCAAAUCAUCAUGCCCUUUAUGACUUGGGCUACACACGUACUACAAUGGCGUUAAACAAAGAGAAGCAAGACCGCGAGGUGGAGCAAAACUCAGAAACAACGUCCCAGUUCGGACUGCAGGCUGCAACUCGCCUGCACGAAGUCGGAAUUGCUAGUAAUCGCAGAUCAGCAUGCUGCGGUGAAUACGUUCCCGGGCCUUGUACACACCGCCCGUCACACCAUGAGAGCCGGGGGGACCCGAAGUCGGUAGUCUAACCGCAAGGAGGACGCCGCCGAAGGUAAAACUGGUGAUUGGGGUGAAGUCGUAACAAGGUA